GACGAACGCUGGCGGCGUGCUUAACACAUGCAAGUCGAACGGAAAGGCCCUGCUUUUGUGGGGUGCUCGAGUGGCGAACGGGUGAGUAACAAGUGAGUAACCUGCCCUUGAUUAUGGGAUAACUUCAGGAAACUGGGGCUAAUACCGGAUAGGAGCUCCUGCUGCAUGGUGGGGGUUGGAAAGUUUCGGCGGUUGGGGAUGGACUCGCGGCUUAUCAGCUUGUUGGUGGGGUAGUGGCGUACCAAGGCGUUGACGGGUAGCCGGCCUGAGAGGGUGACCGGCCACAUUGGGACUGGGAUGCCACCCGGACUCCUACGGGAGGCAGCAGUGGGGAAUAUUGCACAAUGGGCGGAAGCCUGAUGCAGCGCCGCCGCGUGCGGGAUGACGGCCGUCGGGUUGUAAACCGCUUUCGCCUGUGACGAAGCGUGAGUGACGGUAAUGGGUAAAGAAGCACCGGCUAACUACGUG
Molecule: ribosomal RNA, 468 nt
Filed under: uncultured bacterium
Lineage: Bacteria
Description: partial 16S ribosomal RNA
Rfam family: Bacterial small subunit ribosomal RNA
Source: RNAcentral